Molecule: transfer RNA, 82 nt
Filed under: Tropilaelaps mercedesae
Lineage: Eukaryota; Metazoa; Arthropoda; Arachnida; Mesostigmata; Laelapidae
Rfam family: tRNA
About the family: Transfer RNA (tRNA) molecules are approximately 80 nucleotides in length.
Source: Rfam by way of RNAcentral
GCAGUUGUGGCUUAGCGACUAAGCCGCUGGACUUGAAAUCCAAUGGGGUUUCCCCGCGCAGAGUCAAGUGCUGCCGACUGCG